GUCGAGGAUCUUCGGCAAUGGGCGCAAGCCUGACCGAGCGACGCCGCGUGUGCGAUGAAGGCCUUCGGGUUGUAAAGCACUGUCGAGGGGGAGGAAGCCGAAAGGUUGACCUAUCCCUGGAGGAAGCACGGGCUAAGUUCGUGCCAGCAGCCGCGGUAAGACGAACCGUGCAAACGUUGUUCGGAAUCACUGGGCUUAAAGGGCGCGUAGGCGGGCCGCAAAGUCCGGGGUGAAAUCCUCCAGCUUAACUGGAGAAGUGCCUUGGAUACUGGCGGCCUCGAGGAGGGUAGGGGCAUCUGGAACAGCCGGUGGAGCGGUGAAAUGCGUUGAUAUCGGCUGGAACUCCGAUGGCGAAGGCAAGGUGCUGGACCCUUUCUGACGCUGAGGCGCGAAAGCCAGGGGAGCGAACGGGAUUAGAAACCCCUGUAGUCC
This 432-nucleotide ribosomal RNA is filed under the name uncultured bacterium. RNAcentral's name for it is "bacterial SSU rRNA". It matches the Rfam family "Bacterial small subunit ribosomal RNA", at positions 354 to 796 of the family's 1533-position model. The record is from RNAcentral.